UACAGAGGGUGCUAGCGUUGUUCGGAAUUAUUGGGCGUAAAGGGCGCGUAGGCGGCCCUGUGUGUCGGGUGUGAAAGCCCACCUCUUAAAGGCGGAAUUGCAUUCGAAACUACAGGGCUGGAGUGUCGGAGAGGAUGGCGGAAUUCCUGGUGUAGAGGUGAAAUUCGUAGAUAUCAGGAGGAACACCGGUGGCGAAGGCGGCCAUCUGGACGACAACUGACGCUGAGGCGCGAAAGCGUGGGGAUCAAACAGG
This 253-nucleotide ribosomal RNA is filed under the name uncultured bacterium. RNAcentral's name for it is "partial 16S ribosomal RNA". It matches the Rfam family "Bacterial small subunit ribosomal RNA", at positions 524 to 776 of the family's 1533-position model. The record is from RNAcentral.